GAGGGUAUAGCUCAGUGGUAGAGGUCCUGCCUAACAUGCAUGAGGUCCUAGGUUCAAUCCUCAGUACUGCCA
Molecule: transfer RNA, 72 nt
Filed under: Camelus bactrianus (Bactrian camel)
Lineage: Eukaryota; Metazoa; Chordata; Mammalia; Artiodactyla; Camelidae
Also listed under: 2 other names
Rfam family: tRNA
About the family: Transfer RNA (tRNA) molecules are approximately 80 nucleotides in length. Their secondary structure includes four short double-helical elements and three loops (D, anti-codon, and T loops). Further hydrogen bonds mediate the characteristic L-shaped molecular structure. tRNAs have two regions of fundamental functional importance: the anti-codon, which is responsible for specific mRNA codon recognition, and the 3' end, to which the tRNAs corresponding amino acid is attached (by aminoacyl-tRNA synthetases). tRNAs cope with the degeneracy of the genetic code in two manners: having more than one tRNA (with a specific anti-codon) for a particular amino acid; and 'wobble' base-pairing, i.e. permitting non-standard base-pairing at the 3rd anti-codon position.
Source: Rfam by way of RNAcentral